This 75-nucleotide transfer RNA is filed under the name Hyphomicrobium sp. RNAcentral's name for it is "tRNA-Gln". It matches the Rfam family "tRNA". From Rfam's summary of the family: Transfer RNA (tRNA) molecules are approximately 80 nucleotides in length. Lineage: Bacteria; Pseudomonadati; Pseudomonadota; Alphaproteobacteria; Hyphomicrobiales; Hyphomicrobiaceae. RNAcentral also lists the same sequence under 7 other names. The record is from RNAcentral.
UGGGAUGUAGCCAAGUGGUAAGGCAGCGGAUUUUGAUUCCGCCAUUCCCAGGUUCGAAUCCUGGCAUCCCAGCCA